This 500-nucleotide ribosomal RNA is filed under the name uncultured bacterium. RNAcentral describes it as "partial 16S ribosomal RNA". It matches the Rfam family "Bacterial small subunit ribosomal RNA", at positions 30 to 523 of the family's 1533-position model. The record is from RNAcentral.
AUUGAACGCUGGCGGAAUGCUUUACACAUGCAAGUCGAACGGCAGCACGGACUUCGGUCUGGUGGCGAGUGGCGAACGGGUGAGUAAUGUAUCGGAACGUGCCCAGUCGUGGGGGAUAACGUAGUGAAAAUUACGCUAAUACCGCAUACGAUCUAUGGAUGAAAGCGGGGGAUCGCAAGACCUCGCGCGAUUGGAGCGGCCGAUAUCAGAUUAGGUAGUUGGUGGGGUAAAGGCCCACCAAGCCAGCGAUCUGUAGCUGGUCUGAGAGGACGACCAGCCACACUGGAACUGAGACACGGUCCAGACUCCUACGGGAGGCAGCAGUGGGGAAUUUUGGACAAUGGGCGAAAGCCUGAUCCAGCCAUUCCGCGUGCAGGAUGAAGGCCCUCGGGUUGUAAACUGCUUUUGUACAGAACAAAAAGGUUUCUACUAAUACUAGGAGCUCAUGAAGGUACCGUAAGAAUAAGCACCGGCUAACUCCGUGCCAGCAGCCGCCGUAA